CUCUGGCAGAAAGCAUGCAACCUUUCACUAUUAAAUGCUAGCAACAGAAGGCCAGGCUCUGUGGCUCACGCCUGUAAUCCCAGCACUUUGGGAGGCCGAGGCGGGUGGAUCACAUGGUCAGGAGUUCGAGACAUUCCUGGCUAACACUGUGAAACCCCGUCUCUACUAAAAAUACAAAAAGUUAGCUGGGUGUGGUGGCGGGCGCCUGUAGUCCCAGCUACUCGGGAGGCUGAGGCAGGAGAAUGGCGUGAACCCCAGGGGGCGGAGCCUGCAGUGAGCCGAGAUUGCGCCACUGCACUCCAGCCUGGGCGACAGCGAGACUCCGUCUCAAAAAAAAAAAAAAAAAGAAAAACAACCUUCCUUCCAUUGCAAUCCCAGCAUCCCUGAGAGAGGGCACCCAGCCUCUGCUCAAAUUGUCCGAUGACAGGAUGGGGAGGGUGCCAUAAGUCCCCUUAUUGGGCUGACUGAGUAGUGUGGAGCCAGCCAAAGCCACUUCCCUCAAACCUCUGCCAGCCCCCACCCCUAAAGACUUGACCUCCAGGGCAACGGGAUUCCACUCCUGCAGCUGUUCCUCACGACAUGAUCACCAAGAAACUGUUUUAUCGCCCCAUAAAAGAUUCCCAGCUGACAUGUGCAGAAUUAAAGUGCCCUCCAUAUGUACACAAUUUCCUUCUGCAACUUCCCUGGGAAGGCCAAGCCAUCCUUAUGUUCUUACCACAUCCCUUGGGGGAAAAAGAAUCUGCAAAGCACACGUCUGUAACACUGGCCAGCCUGGAGGCGUGCCACCUUUCAGGGGAAUCAUAAAAAAGAUUUUCCAUAACCACAUCACUCUGAACAAUAAUCCUUUUU
Molecule: long non-coding RNA, 849 nt
Filed under: Homo sapiens (human)
Lineage: Eukaryota; Metazoa; Chordata; Mammalia; Primates; Hominidae
Description: HSALNT0405164
Source: RNAcentral